Molecule: ribosomal RNA, 461 nt
Filed under: uncultured bacterium
Lineage: Bacteria
Description: partial 16S ribosomal RNA
Rfam family: Bacterial small subunit ribosomal RNA
Source: RNAcentral
CCUACGGGAGGCAGCAGUGAGGAAUCUUGGUCAAUGGGCGGGAGCCUGAACCAGCAAAGUCGCGUGAGGGAAGACGGUCCUAUGGAUUGUAAACCUCUUUAGGCGGGGAGCAAUGCCGGGCACGCGUGCCCGGCGGGAGAGUACCCGCAGACUAAGCAUCGGCUAACUCAGUGCCAGCCGCCGCGGUAAGACGGAGGAUGCAGGCGGUAGCCGGAUUUACUGGGUGUAAGGGAAGUGUAUACGGUUAUGUAAGUCUGGAGUGAAAGCCCGGGGCCUAACCCCGGGACUGCUUUGGAAACUGGUUAACUGGAGUACAGGAGGGGCAGGCGGAAUUCCUGGUGUAGCGGUGAAAUGCGUAGAUAUCAGGAGGAACACCGGCGGCGAAGGCGGCCUGCUGGACUGAAACUGACGCUGAGGCUCGAAAGCGUGGGGAGCAAACAGGAUUAGAUACCCGUGUAGUC